This 497-nucleotide ribosomal RNA is filed under the name uncultured bacterium. RNAcentral's name for it is "partial 16S ribosomal RNA". It matches the Rfam family "Bacterial small subunit ribosomal RNA", at positions 28 to 507 of the family's 1533-position model. The record is from RNAcentral.
GAUGAACGCUGGCGGCGUGCCUAAUACAUGCAAGUCGAGCGAACGGACGAGAAGCUCGCUUCUCUGCUGUUAGCGGCGGACGGGUGAGCAACACGUGGAUAACCUACCUAUAAGACUGGGAUAACUUCGUGAAAACGGAGCCGAUAACGGAUAAUAUUUUGAACCGCAGGGUUCAAAAGUGCAAGACGCUCUUGCCGACACUUUGAGAUGGAUCCGCGCUGGAUUAGCUAGUUGGUAAGGUAAAGGCUUACCAAGGCGACGAUGCGUAGCCGAUCUGAGAGGAUGAUCAGCCACACUGGAACUGAGACACGGUCCAGACUCCUACGGGAGGCAGCAGUGGGGAAUAUUGGACAAUGGGCGCAAGCCUGAUCCAGCCAUACCGCGUGGGUGAAGAAGGCCUUCGGGUUGUAAAGCCCUUUUGUUGGGAAAGAAAAGAAGCAGGUUAAUACCCCGCUGUUCUGACGGUACCCAAAGAAUAAGCACCGGCUAACUUCGUG